This 76-nucleotide transfer RNA is filed under the name Gordonia phage Sixama. RNAcentral describes it as "tRNA-Glu". It matches the Rfam family "tRNA". Rfam says of the family: Transfer RNA (tRNA) molecules are approximately 80 nucleotides in length. The record is from RNAcentral. Lineage: Duplodnaviria; Heunggongvirae; Uroviricota; Caudoviricetes.
GGCAGAGUUACUUUGUUGGUAUAGGUAGCGAGAUUUUCACUCUCGCCUUCGCGGGUUCGAUUCCCGUCUCUGUCAC